UACGUAGGGUGCAGGCGUUAAUCGGAAUUACUGGGCGUAAAGCGUGCGCAGGCGGUCUUUUAAGUCAGAUGUGAAAUCCCCGGGCUUAACCUGGGAACUGCGUUUGAAACUGGAAGGCUAGAGUGUGGCAGAGGGGGGUGGAAUUCCACGUGUAGCAGUGAAAUGCGUAGAGAUGUGGAGGAAUACCGGUGGCGAAGGCGGCCUCCUGGCUUAAUACUGACGCUGAGGUGCGAAAGCGUGGGGAUCAAACAGG
This 253-nucleotide ribosomal RNA is filed under the name uncultured bacterium. RNAcentral describes it as "partial 16S ribosomal RNA". It matches the Rfam family "Bacterial small subunit ribosomal RNA", at positions 524 to 776 of the family's 1533-position model. The record is from RNAcentral.